RNAcentral lists this ribosomal RNA (440 nucleotides) under uncultured bacterium. RNAcentral describes it as "partial 16S ribosomal RNA". It matches the Rfam family "Bacterial small subunit ribosomal RNA", at positions 338 to 795 of the family's 1533-position model. The record is from RNAcentral.
CCUACGGGUGGCAGCAGUGGGGAAUAUUGCACAAUGGGGGGAACCCUGAUGCAGCAAAGCCGCGUGGGUGAAGAAGUUCUCCGGUAUGUAAAGCCCUGUCAGUCGGGAAGCAAAUGCCGGUACCUGUCCCAGAAGCCCUGGACAACUACGUGACAGCAGCCGCGGUAAUACGGAGGGGGCAGGCGUUAUACGGAUUAACCGGGCGUAAAGGGAGCGUAGACGGCAAGGCAAGUCUGGAGGGAAUGCCCGGGGCCCAACCCCGGGACUGCGUUUGAAACUGUGUUGCUGGAGUGCAGGAGGGGUAAGCGGAAUGCCUAGUGUAGCGGUGAAAUGCGUAGAUAUUAGGAGGAACACCGGUGGCGAAGGCGGCAUACUGGACUGUAACUGACGUUGAGGCACGAAGGCGUGGGGAGCAAACAGGAUUAGAUACCCGAGUAGUC